Columba livia (rock pigeon) is the source of this 675-nucleotide long non-coding RNA. RefSeq lists it as uncharacterized. The transcript is spliced from 2 exons. The record is from RefSeq and is a predicted model, not a curated record. NCBI's taxonomy places the organism in Eukaryota, Metazoa, Chordata, Aves, Columbiformes, Columbidae.
UGCAGGGAGAGCCGUGGCGGCUGGUCCCGCCGUCCUGCCGCGGCGGCCGGGCUGUGUGGGCGCCGUGGCAGCAACCUGUCCUCCACGCUCCUUUGGUCGGGAGUCAAUCAUUGAACAUGGCCUGUUAAGGAGACUGAAAAUGGGAAGACGUCCAAAAACUUAUGUAGGGCCUAUUGAGUUCUACACUGAAUUAAUUUUAAAGAGUGUGAAAUAUGGCACAGCAGGCUGCCGUGGGCUGCAUCCAACCAGGGACCUCUCUCCUGUGGUUCUGAGAAAGCCACGUUUGCUGCUGCUGCUGCCAGCACGGAAUGGUUUGAGGGCAAUGGCUUCCAAGAAGGAACAGUCCUCCAGAAGAGCAGCACCUGUCGUUCCUACCAGUGUGGCAGGAGCUGCACCUUUCCCUUUCCUUUUCCCUUUCCUUUUCCCUUCCAUUCCCCUUUCCUUCACUUCCCCUCCCCUUCCCUUUCCUUUGCCUUUCCUUUUGCCUUUGCCUUCCCUUUCCCUUUCCCUUCCCCUUUCUUUCCCUCUCCCCUCUGUAAGAUACAAUCCUGUCCCCAUUCCACAUCUCUAGAGCAACGUUCAAUUUCACAUACGCUUUUGAGGUACUCUGAGACAGCCUUAUUUCUCAUGUAAAUUUUAGAAUACAGAAAGUAUAUAAAGUCAACAAUGUUUUGA